RNAcentral lists this ribosomal RNA (497 nucleotides) under uncultured bacterium. Its description in RNAcentral is "partial 16S ribosomal RNA". It matches the Rfam family "Bacterial small subunit ribosomal RNA", at positions 28 to 507 of the family's 1533-position model. The record is from RNAcentral.
GAUGAACGCUGGCGGCGUGCCUAACACAUGCAAGUCGAGCGAACAGACGAGGAUCUUGCUCCUUUGACGUGAGCGGCGGACGGGUGAGUAACACGUAUGUAACCUACCUAUAAGACUGGGAUCACCUCGGGACACCGGAUCUAAUACCGGAUAAUAUUUCGAAACGCAUGGUUCGUUAGUGAAAGUUGGCUUUUCUGUCACUAAUAGAUGGACCUACGCCUUAUUGGCUAGUUGGGAAGGUAAAGGCUUACCAGGGGAACGAUACGUAGCCGGCCUGAGAGAAUGAUCGCCCGCACUGGAACGUGGACACGGUCAAUGAUCCUGCGAUAAGGCGCAGUCGGGUAUCUUCCGCAAUGGGCGAAAGCCUGACGGAGCAGCGCCACGCGAGUGAUGGAAAUCCUGCGUUCGUGAAGCUCUGUUACUAGGGAAGAACAAACGUGUAAGUAACUGUACACGUCUUGACGGUACCUGGUCAAAAAGCCACGGCUAACUACGUG